This is a non-coding RNA of Myotis lucifugus (little brown bat), 76 nucleotides long. Lineage: Eukaryota; Metazoa; Chordata; Mammalia; Chiroptera; Vespertilionidae. The record is from Rfam.
GGUGGUUCUUGGGUGACGCACCCCUGAAUCAGGCUCCUUCCUCUCUGGUUCUGAGGUGUGUCACUUGAGAAUUGCU